GUGCUAGCCUUGGCAGCGUGUAUACUAAAAUUGUCACCAUACAGAGACUCACACAGCCCCUGUGUGAGGAUGAUAUGCAAAUUCAUGAAACGGUCCAUAUUUAA
Molecule: small nuclear RNA, 104 nt
Organism: Rattus norvegicus (Norway rat)
Lineage: Eukaryota; Metazoa; Chordata; Mammalia; Rodentia; Muridae
Source: Ensembl